RNAcentral lists this ribosomal RNA (429 nucleotides) under Bacteroidota bacterium. RNAcentral's name for it is "Bacteroidetes bacterium partial 16S ribosomal RNA". It matches the Rfam family "Bacterial small subunit ribosomal RNA", at positions 355 to 776 of the family's 1533-position model. The record is from RNAcentral. Lineage: Bacteria; Pseudomonadati; Bacteroidota.
UAGGGAAUCUUCGGCAAUGGGGGGAACCCUGACCGAGCAACGCCGCGUGAGUGAAGAAGGUUUUCGGAUCGUAAAGCUCUGUUGUUAAGGAAGAACGAGUGUGAGAAUGGAAAGUUCAUACUGUGACGGUACUUAACCAGAAAGGGACGGCUAACUACGUGCCAGCAGCCGCGGUAAUACGUAGGUCCCGAGCGUUGUCCGGAUUUAUUGGGCGUAAAGCGAGCGCAGGCGGGUAGAUAAGUCUGAAGUUAAAGGCAGUGGCUCAACCAUUGUAGGCUUUGGAAACUGUUUAACAUGAGUGCAGAAGGGGAGGGUGGAAUUCCAUGAGUAGCGGUGAAAUGCGUAGAUAUAUGGAGGAACACCGGUGGCGAAAGCGGCUCUCUGGUCUGUAGCUGACGCUGAGGCUCGAAAGCGUGGGGAACGAACAGG